Long non-coding RNA from Cygnus atratus (black swan), 208 nucleotides. RefSeq lists it as uncharacterized. The record is from RefSeq and is a predicted model, not a curated record. NCBI's taxonomy places the organism in Eukaryota, Metazoa, Chordata, Aves, Anseriformes, Anatidae. The transcript has 3 exons.
AGCAAUGCUGAAAGUAGAACAAUGAGAACAAUUCCAUGAAGGAAAAAGAAAAGUAAAAUACAAAGAGUUGUGGUGGUUAAGUCUGUAAAGGAUCAUAUUCAAUGUUUGGAAAUUUUUAAGAACAGCAGUUGUGGUCACCACAGUAAUAUCUCGCCUGUGAAGACAAGAGCCUGGGUCUUGUAGAAAAAAGAAAACCUUCUGAGUGCCC